Molecule: non-coding RNA, 6039 nt
Organism: Physcomitrium patens
Lineage: Eukaryota; Viridiplantae; Streptophyta; Bryopsida; Funariales; Funariaceae
Source: RefSeq, a predicted model, not a curated record
AUUGGAGUACAGAUACCAGCGGCGUCGUCGUUGGUUGUGGAGCUUCAAGUUGGGGGCUCAGCGUCGUCGGCGACGACUGCGGUGCACAGAGCGACGCAAUUUUAGGGGCACUUUGGGCUUCACCCAUGUGCUGCAGGAGCUGCAAUUAGGUCGAAAUCUGGCCAUCUGUGUCGGAAUUCGUGAUCAUAAUAGUGUGUAGCGGAUACUGCACUGAGUUUUCGGCAGCGAGCUUCAGAGGUCGUGAGUCGCGAGAGCAUUCGAAUCCUGGGAUUUCUUCGCUCGCGGACCAAUUCGGUGCAGGUGGUAGGAACCUUGUCGUGUUCCUCAGCCAUUGCGACAAGAGCCUAAUUGCUCAGAUUUUUCGAUGAUCUGGAUUGAUUUUUUCUUCCCUAGGGUUUUUUUUUUUUUUUUUUUUUUUUUUUUUUGUUAAAUUGGUGAGGUUCGCCCAUCCGCAGUUUGCUUGAUAACGAUUGGCUUCUGAACUUUUCGUGAUCGGAGAGCUUUUUUGUAGUGAUUUGAAAGCUCUUGAUGAUCAAUUCCUGUGAAUUCGUUACAGAGAGACUAGGUCCUGACUGUCUAGUGUUUGGGCAAUCGAACAAUGAUUCUGGUCAAGUUUUUUCUGCCAUAGAGGCUGUGUCCAGGAAUUUUGGCAGCAAUUGUUGCGUCUAAAAGGUGCCAUUGUUCUCUGUCAGGCUUAAUGGUGUGUAUAUCUACCGGUCUCGGACAGUCAAAAAAGCGUACCCUGGGAAUACUGCUCAGACUUCUUAGAUUCGAUUUUUAUGAUUUACGCUGCGUGUUGAACUUUCAAGGCAAGGUUGCGUGAACUGGAUGUAGCUUUACUCGAUUUCUCUUGCACAUAGAUCGAUAUAGUCCUUGAGGAAUUUUUCACACGUAAGUCUCAAUGUAAGCACGUAGUAUUUGGAACACUGUGCAGUUGUCGCUAACUUCCAAAUUUCCCGUGGAGAAAUGUGGUGCUCGUGGCAUUGCUACUCUAGGCUGGGAUUCGUUUUAGAUUUGACGGCUCACUGAUUACCGCACUACCUGGACUCAAACUAUUCUAGAACGAGCUCCGUGCUUUUUUGCAGUCCUUUCUGGCUCUUUAAAAAAACCAGUCUUAUUUUAUUUUACUGUAUUUUAUAUUAGUGUCAAUUGAAUAACCAUCUUCCAGUCUGCUUUCAUAUGAAUCCAGAUAUAUGUUAAACACGUUUAGAACUGGACGUGCAGGGACUUCGCAUCGGCAGUGAUCCUCUUUACGCUACAUUAGGUUGGCUUUCGGUACUUUCUUUACUGCGCUUUAUUUUGAUAAAACACAUAUAAACUUGUGGCAACAGGUUUCCCGUAUUUUGGUGGUCAGUAGGAAUUCAAACCGGUUUACAAAUGGCUAUGGCAGCCCCAGCCGAGGGCUCUCCGGGGACGUAGAUGACGAUUGUCAGCUUCAAGGACCAAAUGUGGCUUAGCUCUUAUCGUUUAGAUCGAAACCAGGUGUUUGAUUACUUCGCAUUAUCUCCAUUUUAUGACCGUACUUGUAAUAAGGAGCCAGCUGAGAAUGGAGGCUAUUCAUCCUUUGGACAUGCUCUGUCUCUCGAGACACUGCCAAUGUCUUGAAAAAAGUUUCGACUUCAGCUGCGUAUUAUGUUCUAGGUGGUUCUAUUUAUCAGGUACCUCAGCUUUACAACGUGAUUGGUCACCUGUUGUAAGUUCUUGUCAUGAAAGUUCCAAUCGGCUGUAAAUUAGUGUUACAAUACCGUGGAGUUACAGACGAUGGCCUUUGUAGAUGCGGUUUCUGUACCAUAUUUCGAACGCAUUUGCGCAAGCCUCCGCAAAUCUGGAGAAGAUUGGAUCCGGUAAGCCUACCGCACGAGUCUAAUACUGAUGUAUAGGCAGGAAGUCUAGUAAAAUUUAUUGCGUAUGUCAAAGAAGGGUAUCAUUCAACUGAAGCAAAAGAAUGUGGGUAUUGAAUACUUGGAUACAAUCAGUAAUUAGUUCUGCUAUUCCAUACCCGUAAAAUUACUGUUGUAGCAAUAAUCACAUCCAUACGAUGAAAUAAUGUAUUGAAGAUAAGAUUCUGGAUUGUCACUUCGUAACCUAGGAGUAGUUGACACAUCAGUUUUAGCCUGAUUUAUUCGUGUUCUUAUGUUCUCCGCUGUAACCCUUCGUUCCUGUAGAAUGUUUUCAUUCCCAACGAUGCAACACGAUUUGAAGAAGGAAACGUAGUCCGAGUUGGUGUUUUCACAGGUACGGAUAGUGAAACUGGGAAGGCAGGUGGCGACGCUGAUGCUGCCGACGUACAAUUAAAGAAACCAACAACGAAGGUGGUUGACGUCAAGGAAGUCAUGCAUGUGGAUUCAAUUCUUGCUGGUGUCAUGCCCCCCACCUGCUCCUUCUCGUCCUGCACCACUGGUUCCGGUGAACAACACAUCUCCCCAAAUAGAGACUGCUCAGGCACUGGCAGCUCCAGAUGCCGAGCAAGAGCAGAUUUCAGUCGGAGCAAAGCAAUCAAACACUGAAGGUGAGCCCGCAAAGAGACUACAGAUGGAAAGAUUAUUAAGCGGUCUCCAGUUAUGAGACUGGUACUCGAUGCAAGCUCGAUUCCACUGUGCAUCAUCGUCUACUUCCAGUUAAUUCAUGAUGAGGAUCCUAUCCGUGAAUCUGUUUUGCUUGAUAGCAGCCACAAUCCAACCGAACCGUCUCCAAACACUCGAUUGCAAUUUGUUUUAGUUCCACGCCAACAGCUUUCACAUUUUUGAGAUGGAGAUACCUCAACUCAGUCCUUCAACGCUGACAAUGGCCACGGAGCCCCACAGAUUAGACCGUAGCAAGGACGAAGGAGUGUUACUUACUGCACUGUCUGUGGAGCCGGACUGCGAUGUGAUUUGCUGUGAUCUUAAAAGACUGCUUACUUGCAGGAGGUGGUUGUGAUGGAGUUCUGUUGAGGGUGAGAACCAUCAUGGACAGCAUCACAUCGCUUGGUGUCUAGUUCACAGUUUUUAGAGGGUGAUCAAAACUUCAAUUGUCUUCAAGUUUGCAAGCCAGCAUCAGUGUUCCACCAUUCCUCAACAAAUCCUGAAGUCAACUAGUUGACUACUACACAGCAUUGGACUCCACAGCCUCUCCAAGUAGCAACUCUUGGGAGGAACAAACUCUGUAAUGCCAUCGAAAAGUUGCGUUUUACAGCCUGGUCUGUCAUCUAACUCGUCUAAUCAAGCAGCGUUUCAUACGUACAACAGAACGCGGUACUAGGUGCUCAAUCUUGGCCUUAGGUACUGCUACCCACCUCACUCCCGUACCCGACGGGACGCCUUUUCACACCGCAAUCACUGUCCACGGAAAGAUCCUCAGUGUUUUGCGGCCAGCGAUGCGGCCCUCUCACCAGCCCCACCGUAUCACGUAGUUCGUCCCUGUAUCGUACAUUCUUCGCAGCAAACCCCUCUAAUUACCCCAAUUUGUCAAAUUUGUGAAAAGAAAAGAGACCCACAAACCUGAAAUCUUAACCAACACAGCGAAACUGACACAAAGUUUUGAUGACCCGAAGGGUUCGGUGACGAUUUUUUUUGUUUUGUUUAGUUUAGUUUUGUUUUGUUUUUUUUCUGCUCUUGUGGAGCUUUUCACUCACCGCUGCAUGUGCUGUCGAUGUGAUGUAUCGAAAGAAUGCUCAAGCUGGCCAGGAAGGUCUCACCAAUGUGGUCGUCGCGGAGCAGACACCAGGUGGCACAAUUACGGCAGCCUGCAGAAUCCAUGGGGUUGAAAUUAUCAACCCAUGAUUUUAGGAAACGAAGCAUAAUUAGGAUCGUGUCCUGGUUAUCGUCAAGUUAGUAUUCAGGAAUCAGAACCCUCGGCAAGCUGACAACGUCGACUCAGGCAACCAUUCAAAGAUUCUGAAGAAAGUAUACGAUAACAAUGGAUUUCCUGAGAAGAUGGCUCCUAAGUUAGUGAGUUCUUUAUUCAAGUAAUUGGGCAACCGUGUCGGUGGAAGGCAGCAGCUCUGAGAGGUCACCGAGAGUCUUACUUCGUGGAACAGCAUUCUUUGGCGUUACAUUAUCAUAGGACUGUGUUUUGUUGCUUUCUAUGCUGUAUGGAUAGGGUGCGUGGAAUUCUUCACCUCUUGUACUCACGACAAACUAUACAGGUUUCGUGCAAAAAUGAUAGUUGACUCAGGUUCAUAGCGUGUGCAGUGACAAAAGAUGAGCAUUGUCGAGGCAUAUAAUACGUUUGAAGGAUUACCUCAAUCUUUAAUGUAGCUUCCCCCACUAGUACCUUGAAUACAGUUUUAAAGCUGCCAAAGAGCGGAUAAGUGUUUUGCAAUUCUUAACCUAGUCAAUUUGAGGAGUAGAAAUUAGGAACUUCCUUCUGGAGGAAAGAUUUGGAAGGGUACUAGAGCUGCAUUUUUCUCUUGCUGAAAUUUGAUAUACUUGCUAAUCAGAACACACAAUUGUGUCAGCGAAAGAACUCACAUAGUGCGUUUGCGUGUAGUUGAACAUGAGUGUUGCCAUCUUGCCAAUGUCAGCGGACUUUCAGUGGAGCCCUACAACCGCCGGCUUGGUCCAAUAUUUCUUUUUCCCGGGGCUAUCUUCGUGCUCGGGUAUUAUUCAUUCACGUUUUUCCUUUGCUGCUUCAAGCUUUAUUCAAAAAAGAAAAUGAUUUAGGCUCGAUCCCCCAGGCCAAGUACUACAAGCCCAGCCCAGGAGCACUACAUUUCAGGUUGAAGUAACGUUUUGAUUGGGAUCCAAUUCCUUUUCCGCAACUGCAGCUCUUCAGGGUUGCUAUUUGUGCUUGCUGCGAGCUGAUAUGGUGUGGAUCAAGACUCAUGAAUGCAUUCGCAGCUCGAGAAAGCUAGGACCCACAAUGGAGAUAUACCGGACACUGCAGUUUCCAAUUUCAGAUUUAAGCUAGAUUAAGAAGAUAAAUCACUGAACGACUGCGUGGCAACAUUGCCAUUGGUGAUGAGGGUUGGUUUUGUGCUGUCACAUCUACAUGGUUUGUGGGAGUAUUGAAACCACAAAUAUGCGCCACCUGAAGUCUGCACCAGGGCAUGUUUGAAAGACCUUCCAAGCCUAAAGAGAUGAAUUCUCAGACGAGCCCUCACACCCUUUCUCUUUAGCCUCCCUCUUUGAUGCAACAAGCCCUUCAAUACAUCUGGUCGUUUCACAAAGGGAUGCUAGUAUCCACAAUCUCGUGAUGGUCAGCCGCUUGAAGCCAAGGUCAGGAUACUCAUACUGCUCCGGAGUGUGCUGAAACCAUUCAUAUUCAUAGAAUCGUCUGGUUCAACAUGAUUUGUACUGGCAAGUUAGCUACAAGAUACGAUAACCGUUCUCGCUAAAUGGUGGAGGAAUCUGGGCAGCUCAAAUCGGUGGGAGGCAAGUGCUUGGCUUUGGUGUGACAUGGUGAUCAGUUGCAAACAUGCUUAAACUUGGGCUCCCCCCUCUUCAUUUUGUUCGAGCCUACAUGGGUAUCGAAGAGGGUAUACGUUUUGAUUUUAAGGAAUUCCAUCUCGUAUUCAAAACUGAGUGAUGCUGCUCACCUUGGUGAUCAAAAGCAAGUUUGACACGGGCAUGUGAAUCAUGCAAUGAGUUUAGACAACAUUAGUAGUAAUCCACUGAUCAUCAGCUUUAGUGUACAGUGGAAAGUAUUUUGGGGUCAUUGACAGGACUGGCAUUCCCCCUGUGGUCUGAUGCACAAAUUUAACGGGCCAUAGACUUUCUUUUUCAUGCGGAUCCCUGGGAGCAAUUUGGUUUGUCACCUGACAGAAAAUUGUAAGUUGGUUGGACUUGCUUUAUCUCUGAAUUAGACCUAGAAAUUUUAGAUAUCCUCUAUCUGGAUGUUCUAGUUUUAGAACAAAGAAGUGUAUUGUUCUAUUCCAUCAUGUAGGGCUUUCAGGUUCACAGUUUUGUCUUCUAGUUACGUUAUUUGUGUGGCUUAGUGUCAGUGUGUUCUAGAUGUUCUGUGGGGAUACUGUUGAAAUCCCUGCCAUUUUGUUCAUCCUUCGCUCCUCAUCGAUCUUUGUUUAUUUUAUACAUUAUUUUGUUUUUGUUGUUAUGUGCA